This 497-nucleotide ribosomal RNA is filed under the name uncultured bacterium. Its description in RNAcentral is "partial 16S ribosomal RNA". It matches the Rfam family "Bacterial small subunit ribosomal RNA", at positions 28 to 507 of the family's 1533-position model. The record is from RNAcentral.
GAUGAACGCUGGCGGCGUGCCUAAUACAUGCAAGUCGAGCGAACGGACGAGAAGCUUGCUUCUCUGAUGUUAGCGGCGGACGGGUGAGUAACACGUGGAUAACCUACCUAUAAGACUGGGAUAACUUCGGGAAACCGGAGCUAAUACCGGAUAAUAUUUUGAACCGCAUGGUUCAAAAGUGAAAGGCGGUCUUGCUGUCACUUAUAGAUGGAUCCGCGCUGCAUUAGCUAGUUGGUAAGGUAACGGCUUACCAAGGCAACGAUGCAUAGCCGACCUGAGAGGGUGAUCGGCCACACUGGAACUGAGACACGGUCCAGACUCCUACGGGGGGCAGCAGUAGGGAAUCUUCCGCAAUGGGCGAAAGCCUGACGGAGCAACGCCGCGUGAGUGAUGAAGGUCUUCGGAUCGUAAAACUCUGUUAUUAGGGAAGAACAUAUGUGUAAGUAACUGUGCACAUCUUGACGGUACCUAAUCAGAAAGCCACGGCUAACUACGUG